This 982-nucleotide long non-coding RNA is filed under the name Heterocephalus glaber (naked mole-rat). RNAcentral's name for it is "lncRNA (ENSHGLG00000050153.1)". Lineage: Eukaryota; Metazoa; Chordata; Mammalia; Rodentia; Bathyergidae. The record is from RNAcentral.
CGCGCCCGCGUCCGGUGGGAACUGCCGGUCUACGCGGCCGGCAGAUCUGGGCGGGUGCGGACCUGGCCACGCACAACUUGUGGUUUCGAGGGAUGGGGUCGCUAAGUCUCUCAGGCUGUUCUGGACCUCGCGAUCCUCCUGCCUCAGCCUCUUGAGUAGCCGCUCAGGCCUGCCCUUGUCUGUCUGCUCUCCCAGCCGCGGGGAGUCGGCGGUCCUGGCAGCACGAGCCCCUCCUGCCCUCACCGGCCCCAGUGAUUCUGAGAGGCCCACCCGCCCUCUCCUCAGCCUUCCUGGAUACAGUGCCUGGUGACAAGGACAUGCUCGGGGCCCACCGGGAAUCGGGGAACCAGGCGACGUGGUGCCUGGCAUCCAGGGCAUUUGGGGUGCAACCUGUUCCAGGCAGGCAUCUCUUGUACUCUUCAGAUGAGGAACCUGGGUCUGAGAGGGGCCCUAAACCAGGGCCUCUGCGGGUCAGGCUGGAGCUCUGCCUCCCCCCACACCCAGCCCCGACGCCCAGCUCCUUAAGCCUGGGCACAGUGGACUGGCUUAGAUGGCAUGGCCAGGCCGGGCACUCUGUCAGAGCUCAUUCCAGCGGGGGUUCUGUGCAGGGGGCAGGGGUUGCCACGCUUUCUGCUGGGCGAGGUCUGCCCUGACCAGCUGUGACCCCACCGCAGGCCACUGGGGAUGCUGUUCCGCCCACACUCUGGCUGCACCCUGGAGAGCAGCUAUUUUUACUGAUCAUCUCUCCCAAAGUGGGCAGGGAAAAGUGGGAAACCAGUGGGACCUUCCCCAGGUGCGGCCUGUUUCCCUGGCACCUGCCCUCCUCUGCACCCUAACCACGGGCCUUCAUCCCCGAGCUCUUCUGGCUCCACCUCUGCGAUCAGAACUGAGCCCGGAGAACCCGGGCCAGAGAGGGGCUGGUCCAGCCCUGGCGUGGCUGCUGUCUGGGUGCAGCUGGGCUCCAGGCCCUGGGACUCCCCAC